CCAGACUCCUACGGGAGGCAGCAGUGAGGAAUAUUGGUCAAUGGGCGGAAGCCUGAACCAGCCAAGUCGCGUGAGGGACUAAGGCCCUGCGGGUCGUAAACCUCUUUUGCCGGGGAGCAGUUGUCCGGACGCGUCCGGACCGGGAGAGUACCCGGAGAAAAAGCAUCGGCUAACUCCGUGCCAGCAGCCGCGGUCAUACGGAGGAUUCGAGCCUUAUCCGGAUUUAUUGGGUUUAAAGGGUGCGUAGGCGGGCAGUUAAGCCUGGGGUGAAAUGUGGGGGCUCAACCCGUGCCUGCCGUCGGAACUGGGUGCCUUGAGUGGGCGAGAAGUAUGCGGCAUGCGUGGUGUAGCGGUGAAAUGCAUAGAUAUCACGCAGAACCCCGAUUGCGAAGGGAG
Molecule: ribosomal RNA, 396 nt
Filed under: uncultured bacterium
Lineage: Bacteria
Description: bacterial SSU rRNA
Rfam family: Bacterial small subunit ribosomal RNA
Source: RNAcentral